CAGAGGUGAUACAGCUUUUGUGAUACAGGAAAACUCAUUGUUUAGUAUCUUAAUCAUUGGAAACUUGUGACUUUUUAAACAAUUAGCACUGAGGUAUUCCUUUGUGUUAUUUACAAAGGAACCAAAACCGUUAUGUCUGCUUUACGUUCUUUAGAAAACAGAAGAUUGAGAAGGGUCUGACCAUCUUGUUUGUCUUUGUAUGUAUAUAACUUAUUGCAAAUGAGAC
RNAcentral lists this long non-coding RNA (226 nucleotides) under Bos taurus (domestic cattle). RNAcentral describes it as "long non-coding RNA NONBTAT016074". Lineage: Eukaryota; Metazoa; Chordata; Mammalia; Artiodactyla; Bovidae. The record is from RNAcentral.